CCUACGGGGGGCAGCAGUGAGGAAUAUUGUUCAAUGGGCGUAAGCCUGAACCAGCCAAGUCGCGUGAGGGAUGAAGGUUCUAUGGAUCGUAAACCUCUUUUAUAAGGGAAUAAAGCGCGGGACGUGUCCCGCUUUGUAUGUACCUUAUGAAUAAGGAUCGGCUAACUCCGUGCCAGCAGCCGCGGUAAUACGGAGGAUCCGAGCGUUAUCCGGAUUUAUUGGGUUUAAAGGGUGCGUAGGCGGCCUUUCAAGUCAGCGGUUAAAGUCUGUGGCUCAACCAUAGAAUUGCCGUUGAAACUGGGAGGCUUGAGUAUGUUUGAGGCAGGCGGAAUGCGUGGUGUAGCGGUGAAAUGCUUAGAUAUCACGCAGAACCCCGAUUGCGAAGGCAGCCUGCCAGGCCAUGACUGACGCUGAUGCACGAAAGCGUGGGGAUCGAACAGGAUUAGAUACCCGAGUAGUC
This 460-nucleotide ribosomal RNA is filed under the name uncultured bacterium. Its description in RNAcentral is "partial 16S ribosomal RNA". It matches the Rfam family "Bacterial small subunit ribosomal RNA", at positions 338 to 795 of the family's 1533-position model. The record is from RNAcentral.